CCUAGCCAACACGAUCCAAUUGCCUGGGUUAUUCUUGUGCUACAAA
Molecule: ribosomal RNA, 46 nt
Filed under: Eimeria furonis
Lineage: Eukaryota; Apicomplexa; Conoidasida; Eucoccidiorida; Eimeriidae
Also listed under: 1 other name
Description: small subunit ribosomal RNA
Source: RNAcentral